RNAcentral lists this ribosomal RNA (307 nucleotides) under uncultured bacterium. Its description in RNAcentral is "partial 16S ribosomal RNA". It matches the Rfam family "Bacterial small subunit ribosomal RNA", at positions 506 to 807 of the family's 1533-position model. The record is from RNAcentral.
AGACAGCAGUAGCCGCGGUAAUACGUAGGUGGCAAGCGUUGUCCGGAAUUAUUGGGCGUAAAGGGCCCGCAGGCGGUUUCUUAAGUCUGAUGUGAAAGCCCCCGGCUCAACCGGGGAGGGUCAUUGGAAACUGGGAAACUUGAGUGCAGAAGAGGAGAGUGGAAUUCCACGUGUAGCGGUGAAAUGCGUAGAGAUGUGGAGGAACACCAGUGGCGAAGGCGACUCUCUGGUCUGUAACUGACGCUGAGGAGCGAAAGCGUGGGGAGCGAACAGGAUUAGAUACCCCGGUAGUCCCUGUCUCUUAUAC